CCGAGUCGCCUACGCCUACGUGCACCGCCUCACGCCCGGGCUCCCCGGAGCGCCUUUGCGAGCAGUGCACCCCUCUGCCCUCUCCCCGCGUUCCAGAAGCUUCCACGGCGCGCCCUGCCCAGCCCUCCUCUACUGAACCCAGCGCUCCCGGAGGCGAGGGGUGACCACCGGGGCUUCAGCCUGCCUGGCUGAGUAGGCUCUUGUCACUCUCCCAGCCACAGUGAUGAUGGGGAUUCCAUCCCAGGACACUGUUGCUUCUGAGCUUAGCCAUCCCCAUGUCGGAGAAGGCCAUGCUUUUGGUUUUAUUCUGUAAACAGAAACUUUUCAUUGUGCGAUGAACAUUUCUCCGGCUGCUGAUGCCAGGAGAGCCGUAGACUCUUUCCAGUAAUGAAGCUUGUAAAUCUGGCUGAUUCCUAGUCCAGCUUGUGCAACCUGAGACUGACUGUGCCUUAACAUGAUCUUCCUGUCCGGCACAUGGAAAAUUACUUCUGAGGAUGUGGAGGAGCCAUUCCUGGGCUCCUGGGAGCCGCCUCCACUACUUUGGGUUUUGAUAAGCUGUUCACAUAGUCAUCAUUGGAAGGUCACAGGUGUCAGCAGGGCAGGAAAGGCAAGAACUGUUGCUGUUGUCACUGCUGAACCAAAAUGGGGGCCAUCUUUACCCGAGGCUUGAGGAGAGCUGGCAGUGGCCAUGCUGCUGUUGCAUUCCAGACCCUGCCAAAUUCCAAGAUGAGCAGACUCUCUCCCUUCAAGUACCUACACACUACUGUUUUUUUCAGAUCUAUAGUGCAUCUCAAUAAAAGUUUGUUAGAAAAAAAUGCUAUUUGAGUACUGGAUGUAGAUUUUUAAAGAUAUUUCACUAUCUUAGAUUAAAAAACAAUUUGAAUAACUAUCUAGACACCUUGUUUAUAGUUGUAAAAUGUGUUUGAUAUUGCCCUACCAUUAAGUAAUAAAACAUUAGAUUUAUGA
Long non-coding RNA from Peromyscus californicus insignis, 966 nucleotides. RefSeq lists it as uncharacterized. The record is from RefSeq and is a predicted model, not a curated record. NCBI's taxonomy places the organism in Eukaryota, Metazoa, Chordata, Mammalia, Rodentia, Cricetidae. The transcript has 2 exons.